This 1477-nucleotide long non-coding RNA is filed under the name Homo sapiens (human). Its description in RNAcentral is "non-protein coding lnc-RASGRP1-3:3". Lineage: Eukaryota; Metazoa; Chordata; Mammalia; Primates; Hominidae. The record is from RNAcentral.
AAGAAUUUUUUUUUCUUUAAAUAUCAUUCAUCAAAGACACAUUUAAUCCUGUUAGUUCUGCAUGCGAUUUAAAAAAAUUGUUCUGGUAAUACUCUGUUCAACACUACAAGUAAUUCUGCAUCAAGAGAAAGCUCCAAAUAUUCUAACAACCAUUCAGCAUUUCCAAUGAUCUUAGAUCCACGCUUGGUGCGAAAACUGAAAACGAGAGAAAGGAAACGCUGUGGCCAGGUCCAUCUGAUACUGUGAAAUAUUUCUUAUCUUGAUUUUCUCCUGGAUAAGAUCCUGGAGCUUGGUGAGAAGUGUAAUGUGUAGGGGUUCUAAAAGCCAGAGGCCUUGCUAAAUUUAGAUUUGGUUCUUGCUUAUGUAAUUUUCCCUGUGUUUUCAAUUAUUUAUACAAAUAUAUUAUUUAUAUAUGUCUGGAACUUGUGCUUUUAGCACUCAAUAAGCAGGAAUAAUUUAUAGGAUUACGGAGUGCUUCCUGUCCUUACCUUUCAGAGUAUGUUCUUUUGCAUUGUUAAUUAAUUGUUAUAUUUCAGCCUUCCUUUCCCAGCAGUCUUGUGGUGGUGCUUAACUAGUCAGAGAGAUAGGAUCUAUAUUUAUCAUCAUAUGCAUGUUCCAAAAUCCAGGUUAAUUAUUUUAUUAGCCAUUCCUCUAGCCUAGCUACCCAUUGCGGGGAGGGGGCUGCGUGUCGGUGGCAUGACCCAACAGGUCAUGUUCCUUAAGUACAGUGAGAGCCUGCUGAAAGAGGAAGCCAGCUUCCAGGCCUAAAUGGAAGUUGCCUGUGCUUCAGGUUUCUUUUUUGCCUCCACUUUCCAAAAACAAUCUAGUUCUUGACCUAUCCUUUUCUCCACCCUCCCUCAACACCUUUUUUCCUCUGCUGCCUUGCACUGGCCUCAGGCACCUACCCAGGCUCCUGACCAUGGGUCUGGAUUUGGGCUACUGCUAGAGACGCUGCCUGAUUUUUGCCCUUGUCUCUCUACAGUGCUCCCUUCCAGUUGUUCCCCACGUCUGGCCCUCCUUUUCCUUGGUUCUCACCUUGUCUUGGAUUUCAGAGAUUCAGGCCCUGCAACACACAGGACUGGAUGACAGCUGCUCAGAGUCAACCUGGCACAUACCCCAGAGUGGUGCUUGCAUGUAAGGAGGCCUAGGCACUCUGGGAAUCGAAGGCCUGAAAGUGGCUCCACUGGCUGAGGGCUGGGCAAGGUAGCAGCGCAACAUCUACUUCUGCCUUUUUCUCCACAGUCUCCUCAGUAUUCCCUGGAGCAAAUGGAGAGAGGUGUUGGUUGUUUCCCCCUGAGGCUGGAGUAUAUUGCUGUCUAAUCAUAGGUUUCAGAAGAGUAAAUAUAGUGAGAUACAUAAACUUUCCCUCUGUGAAAAGGAGGACAGAGAUUUACAAACUGAGGUGUGUUUUUUGGCUACUGUCAUUUAAAGGCAUGAGGCUGGCUGGGUGCGGUGCCUCAUGCCAGUAAUCCCAGCA